Molecule: transfer RNA, 83 nt
Filed under: Paraburkholderia humisilvae
Lineage: Bacteria; Pseudomonadati; Pseudomonadota; Betaproteobacteria; Burkholderiales; Burkholderiaceae
Description: tRNA-Pro
Source: RNAcentral
CCGCGGAUAUCGAAUGCGACAUGGUCGUGCUCGGCUCGGGCCCGGGCGGUUACUCGGCCGCGUUCCGUGCCGCGGACCUCGGC